AUGCUGACCGGUCCCUGGACCCCUCCAGACACAAAAGGCACCGUAGCCCUGGCGUGGCGCCCCCCAGGAGAGGCACCCCGAGCCCUGCCGCUGCGCUUCCCUCCCGACGGCGACGACGGGCGCUGGCUGAGGACCUACCUGCACGCAGCCGACUCACACCUGGGCGGCUACGCUGUCCAAACUGCCAGGUUAAACACACUCCAGCUGCCGGAGCACCUCGUCCUCGAGCAGUGCUGUGCGCAAGUGUGUCCCCAGGAGGACCCACGGAGCCUCCGGAGGGAAGUGCACAGACCCCCAUCCUCCUCAUCCCCCAGAAUGCUACCCGUCGCCACGGAAACAUGCCGGUCCUCCCCAGCCACGUCCGCCUGGCAGCAGUGCCUGGGUGGGAAAUGUGAGAAAGGGAGGCCGCCCCGGUGCACGCUGGGAGCAGAUCGCCCUGAGGGUAGAGGGUACCUGAGCAUGGAGCACAGCGCCAGCGGCCCCCCCUCUCGGCCACAGCUGCCUGCAGGGCCCAGCUCUGCUCCCUCCCACCUGCUCCGGUACAGCUGUACCCACAAUGCCGAGGGGCCGCGGACUCCCCCGUGGAGCGACCGCACCCGGAACCCCCCCGCAGGGGUCAACCGGGCGCCGCUGUCUGGCGUUUCCACGGAGACGAGCGACUUCCUGUGCGGGAGGUGUGUCUCCUGCAAGCUGGAGACUCGCACUUUCAACGGUCUGUGCUUCAGGUGCCUGCAGAGCCGCACGGCGCCCCCCCCAGGCGGACACCCAGCCCCAGGACCCCCCCUGGAGCUCGCGCCGCCCCAGGACCGGGACCCGCCUGCAGGGGGGCUGUUCACGGAGCGGUGCCGUACCCCGCACUGCGUUUACUUCGGAACCCCCAAGCGCUCGGGGUACUGCAGCCUGUGUUACUGCAGCCAGGAUGCAGUGCAGGCCGCUCCCCCACCACCCACCCCGUCUCUCCAGCUGUCGUCCACGCUGAGGGGUCUCCCGCGUUGCUCCGCCCCCGGCUGUCACAUGCUGGGGACGCCCGCCUUCCGCGGCCUCUGCGAGCGCUGCCACCUGUCGUCACGCCAGACGGCCAUCAGCGCGCCGCAGUGCCACCUUCAGGCCAGCAGGGGAACCCACCGGAGAUGCGACACGCUUGGAGUUUCUCAGAGAGCUGAGCAGUCAGACAGCGGCUGUGGGUUCGAGUCCCCACGCUGACGGGGCAGGGGACGGCGGUGAGGAAGGGGGCUGGACCACGGAGAGACCGCAAACAUCACAGGAGCCUCAUCCUCAUCACCUGCACCACCGCCCACUGCUGGUGGAACCGCUCCACCUGGUCACCGAGAGACGGCGCUUUCGCUCCCCGCUUGUCCGAGGUGUGCGUUUUCAGAGUCUGUGGGGGGGGGAUGAGGUGGACGACUGAUCCGUCCAGCAGAGACGUGGCGAAAAAGAACCGGACGUCACGAGGACCCGGAAAAGGAUCAGUUGGGUCGGACUGGGAUUGGGGGGGACAGGACUGUCCAUAAUUACGUUUAUACUCUAGUUUAUGUUGAAUUAUGUUGUUAUUUAUUAUAUUUCGUGUGGCAGCAUGGCUCUCUCUGCAGUACAAACAUUAUUUCUAUUAUUAUUAUUAUUAUUAUUAUUAUUAUUACUAGUACAACUCAUUCAAGUAUGUGUCUGUCCACUGUGUGAAGACACAGCCUUUCCCAUUAAACAAAUACUGCAAACGAAAUGUGGAACGGCGGGGUGUCACAGUCAGUGGAAACAGCCCCUCCAACACCACCAACACACCCCCCCAAAACACACACACUGAGGUGUCUUGUGAGAACUGGGUAAUGAACUUAACGUCACAGACACUAGGCGGCGCUGCUCUGUGUGCUCUGCCCCCCCCCCCCCCCCCGCCCCCACCAACACCAACAGCGGCCGACUCACAUCCUAACAGCACAUCCACAGCUGACGGUUAAGGGAUCGCAGUCUUCAGUGCCAUCGCAGUGGUGACAGGGUGCUCCUCCGAGGGGGGGGCCCUGCUCCUCUUCCUCCUGCUCCUUCCAACAAGAGGUGUGGAGAUGAGAGGAAAAGUCCAUCAGCAAGCAGGACGACAGGCCUGAGUCCAACUCGAACCCACAGCUGUGAGGAAACCUGGAAAAUGAUCUUUGUCCCUCAUGACCUGAUUGCACCUGUCAGCUCCACAUCUCUGCAAAUCCACACACACACACACACACACACACACGCACACACACUCACACACACACACGCACACACACUCACACACACACACGCACGCAAACUCUGUCUGCUUAGUGGUCCCACUCCAGGGUUCGAAAUCUAAAGUCUGUAACUCUUCAGUUUUGUUCCACGUGUGGUGAAAUGAGCUCCUUGUGCCCCCCAGAGAUGCUGAACCCUUCACAUAUUAAAGAAGGGUCUCGAACCCGUGUCCUUCAGAGCCACUUCUCUCCUGAUCUCCUGACAGCUCCAUCAAUGAGUCCAACACCAUCUGCUACGAUUAUCUGUGUAUUUGCUCUUUGAAUCUCAAUUCUAUAGGAGCUACUGGAGGGACGUGACCCAGCGACACGGUGGUGUCAAGGCGCACAAGCUGUGUGUCCAUAGUCCCGUGUGUGUCUGAAGCUCUUAGUCUGCUGUCAGUGUACUUUGUUUACUCUGUUUUGUUGGGAAAGAAUAAUGAAUAAAUGAAUAAACGUAAAACCA
Molecule: long non-coding RNA, 2691 nt
Organism: Scleropages formosus (Asian bonytongue)
Lineage: Eukaryota; Metazoa; Chordata; Actinopteri; Osteoglossiformes; Osteoglossidae
Source: Ensembl